UACGGAGGGGGCAAGCGUUAUUCGGAAUUAUUGGGCGUAAAGGGCGCGUAGGCGGCUAGAUGUGUCAUAGGUGAAAUCCCUCGGCUCAACUGAGGAACUGCCUUUGAAACUGUCUGGCUUGAGGCCGGGAGAGGGUAGCGGAAUUCCCAGUGUAGCGGUGAAAUGCGUAGAUAUUGGGAGGAACACCAGUGGCGAAGGCGGCUACCUGGACCGGUUCUGACGCUGAGGCGCGAAAGCGUGGGUAGCAAACAGG
RNAcentral lists this ribosomal RNA (253 nucleotides) under uncultured bacterium. RNAcentral's name for it is "partial 16S ribosomal RNA". It matches the Rfam family "Bacterial small subunit ribosomal RNA", at positions 524 to 776 of the family's 1533-position model. The record is from RNAcentral.